RNAcentral lists this ribosomal RNA (1065 nucleotides) under uncultured bacterium. Its description in RNAcentral is "bacterial SSU rRNA". It matches the Rfam family "Bacterial small subunit ribosomal RNA", at positions 52 to 1125 of the family's 1533-position model. The record is from RNAcentral.
AGCAUGGCAAGUCGAGGGGCAGCACGUCUUCGGAUGGUGGCGACCGGCGCACGGGUGCGUAACGCGUAUACAAUCUACCUUGUAGAGGGGGAUAGCCCGGGGAAACCCGGAUUAACACCCCAUGGUACCAUGAAGCAGCAUUGUUUUUUGGUUAAACAUUUAUGGCUACAAGAUGAGUAUGCGUCCUAUUAGUUAGUUGGUGAGGUAACGGCUCACCAAGACGGCGAUAGGUAGGGGUCCUGAGAGGGAGAUCCCCCACACUGGUACUGAGACACGGACCAGACUCCUACGGGAGGCAGCAGUGAGGAAUAUUGGACAAUGGGCGGGAGCCUGAUCCAGCCAUGCCGCGUGCAGGAAGACUGCCCUAUGGGUUGUAAACUGCUUUUACAGAGGAAGAAACACCCCUUCGUGAAGGGGCUUGACGGUACUCUGCGAAUAAGGAUCGGCUAACUCCGUGCCAGCAGCCGCGGUAAUACGGAGGAUCCAAGCGUUAUCCGGAAUCAUUGGGUUUAAAGGGUCCGUAGGCGGGACAAUAAGUCAGUGGUGAAAGUCUGUGGCUCAACCAUAGAAUUGCCAUUGAUACUGUUGUCCUUGAGUUAUUGUGAAGUGGUUGGAAUAUGUAGUGUAGCGGUGAAAUGCAUAGAUAUUAUAUAGAACACCGAUUGCGAAGGCAGAUCACUAACAAUAUACUGACGCUGAUGGACGAAAGCGUAGGUAGCGAACAGGAUUAGAUACCCUGGUAGUCUACGCCGUAAACGAUGGUUACUAGCUGUUGGGGCGCAAGCCUCAGUGGCCAAGCGAAAGUGAUAAGUAACCCACCUGGGGAGUACGUUCGCAAAAAUGAAACUCAAAGGAAUUGACGGGGGCCCGCACAAGCGGUGGAGCAUGUGGUUUAAUUCGAUGAUACGCGAGGAACCUUACCAGGCUUAAUGUAGCUUGACAGGGGUGGAAACACCCCCUCCUUCGGGCAAGUUACAGUGCUGCAUGGUUGUCGUCAGCUCGUGCCGUGAGGUGUCAGGUUAAGUCCUAUAACGAGCGCAACCCCUGUUGUUAGUUGCCAGCGAG